Peromyscus leucopus (white-footed mouse) is the source of this 493-nucleotide long non-coding RNA. RefSeq lists it as uncharacterized. Lineage: Eukaryota; Metazoa; Chordata; Mammalia; Rodentia; Cricetidae. The record is from RefSeq and is a predicted model, not a curated record. The transcript has 2 exons.
CACACACACGCACACACACACACACACACACACACACACACACACCCAUCCCCGGCUGUGGGGUCGGCGCGCAUGCGCGGCCCUUGGCUGGGCCCGGGCGCACCUUUUCUCCCUCCUGCCACAUUGUGAGCGCUCAGCCGCGCAGAUAACUGCCGGCUGCCUGCUCCACCCCCGGCCCUCGCCCACUCCGCCCACUGCCGAGCGCCCAGGUGGAGAGGAUAUCUUCAAGCAGAAUGGGAGAAAGUAAGCACAUGUAAUAAAAUUGAAUUCAGUGUAAGAAUGAACUUGAGGUCUGCUGAACUCAGAAUGUCUUCUUGGACACUUGACCCAUUCCUCCACCCUCUCUGCUGGUCAGGCUGUCUGGUUUGGAUGAGGGGUGUGUGGAGUGAUGGCCGAAGAAUGAGGUGACCUUCCAAGUGUUCUGACUCUCCGUCCAGAGGCCAAUUCUUUGGAUGGACCCUCGUAAUCACAGUAUUCAUUCAGCUUUCCAUUU